ACGAGCCGCGCGCGACGCCGGCGGGGGCGGGGCCUCGGUCGGACCGCGUCGCUUUCCCCGGCCCGGCGGGCGCCGCUCUGCUGCGGCAGCGGCUCGGCUCGGCUCGGCUCGGCUCGGCUCGGCUCUUCAUGCACUUGCGAUGUUGUCAUCAUCUACUUCAUCAUCACCAUCUCCACCACCAUGAAGGCCUGGUAGACCCAUUGUAUAUUCCCCUUCAGAAAAAAAGAGGAGGAGUAAGAGUCUGGAGAGAAAAAGGGCUCGGCCAAGGAUAUGUAUACAACAGCUACGAGCACUGAGAUGAUGUGUGCAAGGAAUCAGAAGUGAAGCAAGAAGCUGAUGGAAGCCCAGAGUUAAAAUCUGAACAGGAUGUACCAGAGACCUCUUCAGCAGCAACUGCUGAAAGAUCUACAUUUGAUCUGGAGCAGUUCCAGCAGCGCUUGUAUAUGUAUGCUACCAAGAUGUCUGAGUACACCUACCCUGUCUACAGAGCAAGAUGUUUUUGCAGUGAUUGAUUACAACAUGCAUUUGAACCGGCAAACUGCACARUCAGCAAAAUCAGUUAAUGCACCAAGACAAGGAGGCUGAUCCCAGAGUCAAUGAGAUUCCUUUGGGUUCAAGGAACUUAUGCUGGUCUGCUAAUUUGCUGCAUGGAAAUACAGAUGGGGCAAGCAAUUGUUUCUUCCUUCUCCUUUGUUAUAG
RNAcentral lists this long non-coding RNA (699 nucleotides) under Apteryx rowi (Okarito brown kiwi). RNAcentral's name for it is "lncRNA (ENSARWG00000008785.1)". The record is from RNAcentral. Lineage: Eukaryota; Metazoa; Chordata; Aves; Apterygiformes; Apterygidae.